GAUGAACGCUGGCGGCGUGCCUGAUACAUGCAAGUCGAGCGAACAGAUGAGGAGCUUGCUCCUCUGACGUUAGCGGCGGACGGGUGAGUAACACGUGGAUAAUCUACCUAUAAGACUGGGAUAACUUCGGGAAACCGGAGCUAAUACCGGAUAAUAUAUUGAACCGCAUGGUUCAAUAGUGAAAGACGGUUUUGCUGUCACUUAUAGAUGGAUCCGCGCCGCAUUAGCUAGUUGGUAAGGUAACGGCUUACCAAGGCAACGAUGCGUAGCCGACCUGAGAGGGUGAUCUGCCACACUGGAACUGAGACACGGUCCAGACUCCUACGGGAGGCAGCAGUAGGGAAUCUUCCGCAAUGGGCGAAAUCCUGACGGAGCAACGCCGCGUGAGUGAUGAAGGUCUUCUGAUCGUAAAACUCUGUUAUUAGGGAAGAACAAAUGUGUAAGUAACUAUGCACGUCUUGACGGUACCUAAUCAGAAAGCCACGGCUAACUACGUG
RNAcentral lists this ribosomal RNA (497 nucleotides) under uncultured bacterium. Its description in RNAcentral is "partial 16S ribosomal RNA". It matches the Rfam family "Bacterial small subunit ribosomal RNA", at positions 28 to 507 of the family's 1533-position model. The record is from RNAcentral.